Long non-coding RNA from Passer domesticus (house sparrow), 524 nucleotides. RefSeq lists it as uncharacterized. The record is from RefSeq and is a predicted model, not a curated record. NCBI's taxonomy places the organism in Eukaryota, Metazoa, Chordata, Aves, Passeriformes, Passeridae. The transcript has 3 exons.
UAUGUUCCAGUCUUUCUAUUAGAUCACCAUGCUUAAGCCCAGACACUUUCAAAAGAUUGUAGCUGGCCAGGAAAAUCUGUUUGCUGGAAUGGGAAAAGCUUUGGAGUCCCAUUUGAAUCACUGCCUUCUGAACUGACACUGGGUGCAGGUGCCACUGGAGAAGACAUGUUAGGCUAAGAAAGGUUUGAGCUGAGGAAUCAGUGGCAUUUUACUGUCUACUGCUUAAAAAUCCUAGAUGGAGAGCAAGGCCAUCAACUCAUGGCCACCAUGUGGAAGCAGAAGGCAGCUCCUGACAGGCCUUGCACACAAAUUGAGUGUGAAAUGAAAAACCCUCCCAGGUUACCUGCACUGAAAGUGCCAGGUGACUUCACAAGCUUCACUCUUUAGCUACAAUCCACCUGCUGCAGCACAAUUCCUGCAGUGCAUGAGCAGGAGACAGACCCUGGGCACUGCUGCAAUAUUCCCUGCAAUGCUUCUGCUUUUCUGCUUCUCAUUUUGUGGAUUCCCACUUUAGAUACAUUCAC